ACAAAAUGAAAACAAUAUCACUAUUAAUGUGUGUACUUACACACUGUAAAUGAGUCAUCUUUUUUCGACUACUGACCGAACCCUCAAACAAAGAUACUAGAUUAUUUUCUAAACGGUUCGGUCAGUUAACAAAAGUAUUUUAUAGUUUUUCUCUAGGUGUCCUAAUUUCAAGUCUCUAUGAAUAUUUUUAACUGAAUUAUAAAAAAAAAUUAAUAAAA
Molecule: non-coding RNA, 218 nt
Organism: Cinara cedri
Lineage: Eukaryota; Metazoa; Arthropoda; Insecta; Hemiptera; Aphididae
Source: the annotation of a GenBank genome assembly